Molecule: long non-coding RNA, 907 nt
Filed under: Prunus persica (peach)
Lineage: Eukaryota; Viridiplantae; Streptophyta; Magnoliopsida; Rosales; Rosaceae
Description: long non-coding RNA (PPER_LNC005169)
Source: RNAcentral
UUCGUUUGGGGGCUUACUUUAAUGAAUAAGAUGUGUUGAAAUUGUUGAAGAAUAUAAGUCCCACAUUGGAAACUUGAAUAAGGGCUCGUUUGAGAGUGCUUUUGAAACUGCUAAAAGCGCUUCCAAAUGGGUAAAAGCGCUUCUAUCUUUUAAAAAUGAUGUUUGGCAGAAAUUGUAAAAGAGCUUUGGGUGGGAUUCAAAAGCAUUUGAAGUUGUUUUUUAAGAAGCACUUGAGAAAUGCUUCUUCAUAGAAGUUCUGCCAAGUAAAUGCACGGGAAGCACUCGACUCCCUUUAAUGAAAAUUUCAAAACACCGAAAAUAUCCCUAUUUAAUUUUCUAAAACGCCAAAAUACCCUCAUCAGUUCUGUCGCUCCUUUCGCAUCAGACUCCAUCGUGUUAUUUCUCUCUCUCUUGGCCUCAUGAUUUCUUUCGGGGUAGAAGAUCUGACUAUCAAUUGAAGGCCAUGGCCAUCCUUGCUCCUCAAGCAGAUCGUAUUCUAUUCAUUAAUAAACAUUUGGGUAUUCUUUGUUUUUGGAUUUCCUUAUCUGAGUUCUCUAAUUAGAUAUGUUCUUCUAUGAUUUUAUUUUAUUUUAUUUGGAUGAAACUGAAUCUUCUCUUCCUUGAAGUCCUUUUCAUGGUUUUGAAUUUUUUAUUAGUGUGUAGGAAUUGAAGUCUUUUUCAUGGUUUUGAAUUUUUUUUUUCUUUUUUGAAUUUCUAUGCCUUGACUUGUCAAUUUCUUUUUGUUUUGUUUCAUGAGUAAAAUUUGCGGUGGGCUUCAUUGAAUUAAAAGUUUCAUACGUUCAUUUUGGUCAAUCUGUAUUGAUUUCUUCGUUUGCAUACUUUCUGGAAUCAAUGCAGCCAAAGGGGUGUUCAUAACAAGUUGGAAAGCCGGAAACGUAUUGUUUUU